RNAcentral lists this ribosomal RNA (248 nucleotides) under uncultured bacterium. RNAcentral describes it as "partial 16S ribosomal RNA". It matches the Rfam family "Bacterial small subunit ribosomal RNA", at positions 88 to 334 of the family's 1533-position model. The record is from RNAcentral.
CUGGAGAGCGGCGAACGGGUGAGUAACACGUAAACAAUCUGCCCUUUAGUUGGGGACAACCAUCCUAACGGAUGGCUAAUACCGAAUAUUGUUGAGAAUUCGCAUGUUUUUUCAACGAAAGGCUUCGGCCGCUAGAGGAUGAGUUUGCGUCCCAUUAGUUUGUUGGCGGGGUAACGGCCCACCAAGACUUCGAUGGGUAGCCGGCCUGAGAGGGUGAUCGGCCACAUUGGGACUGAGAUACGGCCCAG